AGCACACCUGCACUCAUACGCUCCCAUCUCUUCUCACUCUCUACACACCGGUCACCGGAGUAAACACCGGCCAAUUUUCCGGCCGGUUACCAGUAAAUUACAACCAUCUAACAUCUUACCUCCUCCUCCCUCUCUCACAACCAUACACCCCAGCCCCCAUUCGCUCUAAAACAAACCGGCCACCACCAACCGGUGGUGGCAUACGGCGACGAGGCGGAAAGAAAAAGAUAGAGCAGACGGAGAGAGAGAGAGAGGGAGCAGCGAACGGAGAGAGAGGCAGACGAGCGGCAGGAGUCUCCGGCGGCGGCGAUCUCUGUCGCUGACAUCGAUGAUGAGGAUGAUGAUGAGGGUUUCGACGGCGGACAGAGUUACGAGCUGUGGAUCGAGUCGUUCUCCCUGCCACGGUGCACUCCAACAGUGGGGUUCCGAUAAUGACUUUUGAGGGUAAUGAUUCUGUGGUAGAUGAUGAAAGAUGAUGCGGUUGAUGUUCGGUUCGUUCAGCUUCAGUUCGGGUGCACAUCAGCAUGUUCGGGUCACGGUUCAGGUCAACUUGAUCAGAUUCCUUUCCGUUCGACCCGGUUCACUCGCUCAAGACUUGGUUCGGUUCAGGUUCGGGUCAACAUAAGUCAACAACGGUCAACAGUUCUGAUCGACUCGGUCAAAUACGAUCAAACUCGGUCAACUGAGGUCAAACUCAGUCAACACGAGACGCGGAAUGUCAUAGGUGCACGCCAGCUAAUUCAUGUUCUUGGAACGACACUACGGAAUCACGCUAGGCUAUGAUUGCACAUGGAAGUCCAGGUCGCAUUUUAAAAACUAUGGAACGGUUGGAAUAGGAGAAUCCAUGGGAAUUCGAGUA
Helianthus annuus (common sunflower) is the source of this 859-nucleotide long non-coding RNA. RefSeq lists it as uncharacterized. The transcript is spliced from 5 exons. The record is from RefSeq and is a predicted model, not a curated record. NCBI's taxonomy places the organism in Eukaryota, Viridiplantae, Streptophyta, Magnoliopsida, Asterales, Asteraceae.